GGGUGGCCAUGAUAGUGAAAAAAUUUUACAGCAUCUGAUUGUAAAUCUACGGCUGCCGCUCGUCCCACCCAUAAUUCACUGUUACAGUAAAUAUCUUGUCUUCCGGACCUUUCUACUUCCUCCCCGAUACUGCUCUCUAGUCUCUUCCGACGUCGGCGUCGGCGAGGGAUCCGAGCACCUUGAGCACAAGCGCAUGGAGCAAAGACGAGGCAGCAUCUGGAAAGAUGAAGCUGCUGUGCAUAUUUAGGGGCCGGAUUGCAUCGUUGUCCGAGACGGGGUGCUGCGGUACGAGCGGAACAGCCGUGCCGCCGGAUGAGGAGGCGGCCGUGGAGCACGGGCCCUUCCCCAUCGAGCAGCUACAGGGCUGACUCCCUUAGCGGUACCAUCUCCCAGCUCUUGAUUCGAUCCCUACAAGAAUCAUGUUUCUUGGAUGUUCCCACCGUUUCUUGGUCGAUGGAUCCUUGGGAGGGUAGGGUUCUUGAUGCUUUCGCCCCCCUGAAACCGCGUGAUUUCGAGGGCUUGAUCAACGAUAAAUGGUCCGUUAGGAAGAGUGCGGUGCGCCAAGGUUGUUCAGCCCAUUUUUGGGGAAUGUUCCUGGGGCCUCAGGACCCCCAUGUUCUUGACUUUUUUCCUCCAUGGAAAUUCCACAAAUGCCAAGGGAAUGAAGGUUCUUCCCUCUGAUUUUCGUGUUGGUGCUACCAAAUCUUAAUUUCUGGCGUCUUUUCAAGUUGGCCUGCAAUUGUCUGGUUUGAAUUCUUUAAUUCUUCUUUCACUGAUUCAGAGUCAAUACGUAGUGUAUCAAUAACAAAUAUGUGCUUCUGCUAUUUUAAAUUAAUUCUUCACCACGGGUAUAGCUAGCAUUGAGUCACCACAUGCGUCAGUUCUUUCGAAUCUGAAAGGCACAUGAGAAUCUGAAAGGCACAUGAUAUUGUUUUGCCUUGUAUACAAGUUCAAUGCAGAAAUUAGGUACAUGUACUACAUUAUUGAAUUGUUAUGAGCAAAUGAAUGUUACAGUACACUUAAGCAAAAAAGAUGUCCACAUAUUCUGAAAGUCCACCUUCCAUGAUUUAUUUUUUCAGCAUUACAAUUGAGUUUAAGAUGCAUAUCAGUAUUCAGCAAUAGAAACUAAAAUAUAUUUUCACCUGCUAUCAAAUAUUUUUUAAUCUUCAUUAGCUUAAUUUGCUUACUAAAGCCUACAUGGGCUGUUUAUUGGACAAAACCUCUGUACUAUUCAAAAUGAUAUCUUGUGAGGCAGACCAAAUUUAUUACAUUUGCUUUAGAUAGGAGGAUUCUGAUGGUGUGGCUCAGUGAGAAAGCAUUUCUUUUACGACAAUGCUAUUGUAGCAAAUAACAAGGCAUUUUGUAUGAUACUACUAGUGUAGCGAGUAACGAGGCAUAUGCCAAGUUCCUUGCUCCUGUCAUAAAGCCAUUUAGAUCUUUGCAUCCUGACAUCUUAAUUAUUCAUAAAUUUAAACAUUAAACUGCAUUUACCUUUUGCCAACACGUGCUUCUUGUCCCUAGUAUCGCUAAAUUGAAGCUCCAUUUCUGCAGGUUAGCUCUGAUGGUUGUUGAUAGUGCCACAGUCCUAUAUAGAACUGAUUUCUCUGGUAGAGGGGAGCUAUCAGCAAGACAAAUGCAUCUGGCUAAGUUCUUAGGAGCUUUUAGAAGUUAGCAGAUGAGAUAAUCAGCUUUUACUUUGAUCACUGGUGACAAUAACGAAAUAUUACUUCUAUUGAAUUAUUUUCAUAUAUUUGAUCUUGCAUAUAUUAUGACAACUGAACAUUUAUGGAAAUGUAUUACAACCAAACCAAAUAGCAAUUAAACUUGAGUGUCUGUCUACUUACUAAAUGGAUACAGAUAGCUAGCACUUGCAAAGAUGAGACAAAAUAAUAAUAAUAAUAAUAAUAAUAAUAAUAAUAAUAAUAAUAAUAAUAAUAAUAAUAAUAAUAAUAAUAACGCCUUCUAUUGAAUAUGCAGGAACAAAAUUCAUAUUGUUGUCAACCCUGCUAACCGGAGUAUAUCUGCAACACUUUUACCUUGGUAGGUUUUACUUACUCUGAUCUAUGCUAAGACCAUUAACUGUUGCUACUGUUUUUCCCUUUUCCUUAGGAAAGAAACUAUUUCUAUAUUCUUUUAUAUCAGUUGACAUCAACAGAGCUUGUGGUAUGGAAGUAAGAUGGUGUAGGCGUGUUCUUCAGAUCUGUAACAUAUUUAUAGGGAGAGCUUAUAUGACUUUAUGUUUGCAUACAAUUGACAGCUCCUAUCAUUUUAAGUUAUUAAGAGCUCCUAUAUCAUUGUUCCCAAAGAAGCUAACUGCAUGUAGAGUUAAUGAGAUUCAAGGAUCCAUUCAGGGUGGAGAAACUCAGCUCUGGUUGCCCAGGUCUUGAAAGCUUAGGUUUCAUCAUGUUGCACAGUCAUUACAUUCAAUGUAUCAAUUGGUCAUGCUAUUACAUGUGAUUGUUUGCCCAAAACUACAACGCGGAUUAUGAUCUUCUUGUUCUGAUUCAAUGUGCAUUCUUGUGAUGUUUGUGAAGCCUAAUACUAUGCUACAAAAUGAGUGGAUCUUCACCAGCCAAGCAGGUAAAUUAUCUUUUUGAUUGUUGUCUAUAGCAACUCAUCCUCUAGCUGCUGCUGCUCCAGCAAAGUUCUGUAGUGAUAGUGUUGAACAUGAAUGGACUUAAUACCAGUUAAAAAGCACGCCAAUGUUGGUUCAGAUUAUGAAUCUUUAUAAACAUUGCCUCUUCAUCAAUUGUAGUAUCCUAUAAACGCUAUAGUUUCAUGUGAAUUUGCAAGAUUUUUUGCUUUAAUAGAUUAGUUUAUAUGACAUUCUAAGCCUCCGUUCAAUGUGAUAGAUUUUGUACUAAUAAACAUCCUAAAUGUCUAGCUGAAAUUUCUUUAGUGCAUACAGCUUGGUCCCUUUUGUUUGUAAUACCUGAAGCUUCAUCCGAUGUCAUGCCAAUAGAGCGAUAAGGGACUCAUGGGAAGAAAUACGUACAUGCUUCAAUUUGAGAGCAAAAUAUACUUCUUAUCAUUCAGAUUAAGGAGCAAUGUGCUUCCACUAUUUAUUGUCAUAAAACAAAGCAGUAUUAUGUCACAUCCUAAAUAUUAACAGAAAUAACUCUACCAUAGGCUAAAUAUUAACAGAAAUAACUCUACCAUAGCACUUUCUCUGUGCCAUUCAGAUCAAGGAGCAAAGUACUUCCACUAUUUGUUGUCAUAAAAACAGAAGCAGAAUCAUGUUACAUCCUAGAAUAUUGAUAGAAAUAACUCUACCACAGAUCUUAUGCAGCACUUGCUCUGUGAAAGCAACGAGAGGCUCCAAAAGAUUUCUGGCUCAAUUUGUUAAUGACCAAUAAAAUAUUUUAAGUGUAGCGACUCUGUAACUAUAUGCCAAUGAGCAAUAGACUGUUUAGAUAGAACUACUUCAUAACAAUGUUUUUUCUGCUAGUAGAUAUGUAUGUAUAAAAAAACAAAUAUAUACUAGCUUCCAUACUAUUGUAUGCAUAUAUGUACCUUCAUAGUUAAUUUUCUAUUUUUAAUGAAAAGAUAAAAAAAUACUACAGAUUUAUCAGUUCA
Molecule: long non-coding RNA, 3576 nt
Organism: Panicum virgatum (switchgrass)
Lineage: Eukaryota; Viridiplantae; Streptophyta; Magnoliopsida; Poales; Poaceae
Exons: 4
Source: RefSeq, a predicted model, not a curated record